AACGUAUAGAAGAUCAGUUAAUAUUUUCCUACCUGUCCCAAAAUUAAUAUCUUUUUCUUAAUUGCAUAUUAUCAUUGGCAACUUGCACGAGGCAUUAUUAUAUGAAUCGAUUUUUUCGUGUGAUGCGAUAAAAGAAGUAUCAUAUAGUGGAGACAGGAUUUGUUUGAUAAACUAAAUAUUUACGCGUUUCGCGAUUUAUAUUGACUUUUGAAGAACGUUAUUUGUAUGAGUGUGCGUAAAAGCAGUUGUCCUCAAUAAUUCUUUGUAUAAGAUCGUCGAUGAGAUAAUACGCAAUCUUCAAUGGAUCAAUAUAUCACAAUUUCGACCUAGAGCACCGACGAGUAUUUUUUCGUGCCAUCAUAAAACUUUUCAAGU
Long non-coding RNA from Vespa crabro (European hornet), 375 nucleotides. RefSeq lists it as uncharacterized. The transcript is spliced from 3 exons. The record is from RefSeq and is a predicted model, not a curated record. NCBI's taxonomy places the organism in Eukaryota, Metazoa, Arthropoda, Insecta, Hymenoptera, Vespidae.